This 89-nucleotide transfer RNA is filed under the name Pectobacterium bacteriophage PM2. It matches the Rfam family "tRNA". From Rfam's summary of the family: Transfer RNA (tRNA) molecules are approximately 80 nucleotides in length. Their secondary structure includes four short double-helical elements and three loops (D, anti-codon, and T loops). Lineage: Duplodnaviria; Heunggongvirae; Uroviricota; Caudoviricetes; Pantevenvirales; Straboviridae. The record is from Rfam by way of RNAcentral.
GGAAGAUUGGUAGAGAGGCUAAUUACACCUGACUUGAAAUCAGGAGGCCGAAGAAAUUCGGUCCGAGGGUUCGAAUCCUUCAUCUUCCG